This 23-nucleotide non-coding RNA is filed under the name Arabidopsis thaliana (thale cress). The record is from RNAcentral. Lineage: Eukaryota; Viridiplantae; Streptophyta; Magnoliopsida; Brassicales; Brassicaceae.
GGUGUUGAUGUGUCACUCAUUAG